UACGUAGGGGGCUAGCGUUGCUCGGAAUCACUGGGCGUAAAGCGCACGUAGGCGGCUUCUUAAGUCAGGGGUGAAAUCCUGGAGCUCAACUCCAGAACUGCCUUUGAUACUGGGAGGCUCGAGUCCGGAAGAGGUGAGUGGAACUGCGAGUGUAGAGGUGAAAUUCGUAGAUAUUCGCAAGAACACCAGUGGCGAAGGCGGCUCACUGGUCCGGUACUGACGCUGAGGUGCGAAAGCGUGGGGAGCAAACAGG
Molecule: ribosomal RNA, 253 nt
Filed under: uncultured bacterium
Lineage: Bacteria
Description: partial 16S ribosomal RNA
Rfam family: Bacterial small subunit ribosomal RNA
Source: RNAcentral